Molecule: ribosomal RNA, 439 nt
Filed under: uncultured bacterium
Lineage: Bacteria
Description: partial 16S ribosomal RNA
Rfam family: Bacterial small subunit ribosomal RNA
Source: RNAcentral
CCUACGGGUGGCAGCAGUAGGGAAUAUUGCGCAAUGGGGGAAAGCCUGACGCAGCAACGCCGCGUGGAGGAUGAAGGUUUUCGGAUUGUAAACUCCUUUUGUGAGAGACGAUAAUGAUGGUAGCUAACGAAUAAGCACCGGCUAACACCGUGCCAGCAGCCGCGGUAAUACGAAGGGUGCAAGCGUUACUCGGAAUCACUGGGCGAAAAGAGCGCGUAGGCGGGAUAGCAAGUCAGAUGUGAAAUCAUAUGGCUGAACCAGAGAACUGCAUUUGAAACGGUUAUUCUAGAGUAUGGGAGGGGUAGGUGGAAUUCGUGGUGUAGGGGUAAAAUCCGUAGAGAUCAAGAGGAAUACUCAUUGCGAAGGCGACCUGCUAGAACAUAACUGACGCUGAUGCGCGAAAGCGUGGGAGCAAACAGGAUUAGAUACCCUGGUAGUC